This is a long non-coding RNA of Phasianus colchicus (ring-necked pheasant), 1009 nucleotides long. RefSeq lists it as uncharacterized. The record is from RefSeq and is a predicted model, not a curated record. Lineage: Eukaryota; Metazoa; Chordata; Aves; Galliformes; Phasianidae.
AGCUGCCUAGGACACAGUGACCACAAAAUGGUAGAGUUCUGGAUUCUUGGUGAUGUCAGGAGGGGCACCAUCAAAACUGCUACCUUGGACUUCUGGAGGGCAGACUUUGAACUGUUCAGGACACUGGUAGGGAGGGUUUCUUGGGAUGAACAGGGAGCUUUGCCUGAGGUUCUAAGGAGAAAAAGAGAAUCUACCUCCUGUGGAAGAAGGGGCAGUCAACUUAGGGAGAAUAAAGAAAUUGUUACUAUGUACAGGGAGAAAAUUAGAAAGGUAAAAGCCCACCUUGAACUCAACUUGACCACUGGGAUAAAAGAGGACAAAAACUUUUGACAGAUACAUUAACAGUACGAAGAGGACUAAGGAGAAUCACCAUACUUCACCAAAUGCAGCAGGGAAUGUGACCACUGAGGAUAAGGAAGAGGUUGAAGUUCUCAAUGCCUCCUUUACUUUUGUCUUUAAAAGUGAAACCAGCUAUCCUUGGGGUACUCUACCUUCUCAUCUGGAAGUCUCAGGGAGCAGAAUAAACUUCAGGUUGGGCUUCAGGACUGCCUACCCAUGUCAGACAGCAAGCCAGGCGCUGCCAUCAGACAUUGCUCCAACACAGAGCAAAUAGACUGUUCUAAUCCUUAGUAUUACUAUUCAGCAGGCAGAUGUUCAGCCUCUCCCAGGAAAGGAAGGCUCAUCAUGCAUAAUGGUUUCUGGAGAAGUCAAACUCCAUCACCUCAGCAUCCUGCAUUCCUCCUUCUUACCCCCAGCUGCUAUUGCUGAGCACAACACCAUGUGGUAUGGGACACCCUCUCGGUUAGUCUGAGUCAGCUGUCCUGUUUGUCCCCUCCCAGCCCCUUGUACCAUCAGCCCCUUGCUGGCAGGGCAGCAGGAGGAGCAGGAAAUUUCUUGGCUCUGUGCAAGCACUGCUCUGAAGCAGUGUCUCAUCAGUUCUGUUUGGGUCACAAAUCCAAAAUAACACUGUACCAACUGCUAUGAAUAAAAUUAACUCUAUUGCAGACAA